This 640-nucleotide ribosomal RNA is filed under the name Mycobacterium sp. So1Ps_738. RNAcentral's name for it is "bacterial SSU rRNA". It matches the Rfam family "Bacterial small subunit ribosomal RNA", at positions 378 to 1030 of the family's 1533-position model. The record is from RNAcentral. Lineage: Bacteria; Bacillati; Actinomycetota; Actinomycetes; Mycobacteriales; Mycobacteriaceae.
GCAGCCUGAUGCAGCGACGCCGCGUGGGGGAUGACGGCCUUCGGGUUGUAAACCCCUUUCAGCACAGACGAAGCGCAAGUGACGGUAUGUGCAGAAGAAGCACCGGCCAACUACGUGCCAGCAGCCGCGGUAAUACGUAGGGUGCGAGCGUUGUCCGGAAUUACUGGGCGUAAAGAGCUCGUAGGUGGUUUGUCGCGUUGUUCGUGAAAACUCACAGCUCAACUGUGGGCGUGCGGGCGAUACGGGCAGACUGGAGUACUGCAGGGGAGACUGGAAUUCCUGGUGUAGCGGUGGAAUGCGCAGAUAUCAGGAGGAACACCGGUGGCGAAGGCGGGUCUCUGGGCAGUAACUGACGCUGAGGAGCGAAAGCGUGGGGAGCGAACAGGAUUAGAUACCCUGGUAGUCCACGCCGUAAACGGUGGGUACUAGGUGUGGGUUUCCUUCCUUGGGAUCCGUGCCGUAGCUAACGCAUUAAGUACCCCGCCUGGGGAGUACGGCCGCAAGGCUAAAACUCAAAGAAAUUGACGGGGGCCCGCACAAGCGGCGGAGCAUGUGGAUUAAUUCGAUGCAACGCGAAGAACCUUACCUGGGUUUGACAUGCACAGGACGUGCCUAGAGAUAGGUAUUCCCUUGUGGCCUG